RNAcentral lists this ribosomal RNA (432 nucleotides) under uncultured bacterium. RNAcentral describes it as "partial 16S ribosomal RNA". It matches the Rfam family "Bacterial small subunit ribosomal RNA", at positions 29 to 506 of the family's 1533-position model. The record is from RNAcentral.
AACGAACGCUGGCGGCAUGCCUAACACAUGCAAGUCGAACGAGACCUUCGGGUCUAGUGGCGCACGGGUGCGUAACGCGUGGGAACCUGCCCUUAGGUUCGGAAUAACUCCCCGAAAGGGGUGCUAAUACCGGAUAAUGUCUUCGGACCAAAGAUUUAUCGCCUUUGGAUGGGCCCGCGUUGGAUUAGCUAGUUGGUAGGGUAAAAGCCUACCAAGGCGACGAUCCAUAGCUGGUCUGAGAGGAUGAUCAGCCACACUGGGACUGAGACACGGCCCAGACUCCUACGGGAGGCAGCAGUGGGGAAUAUUGGACAAUGGGCGAAAGCCUGAUCCAGCAAUGCCGCGUGAGUGAUGAAGCCCUUAGGGUUGUAAAGCUCUUUUACCCGGGAUGAUAAUGACAGUACCGGGAGAAUAAGCUCCGGCUAACUCCGU